UACGGGGGGUGCGAGCGUUGUCCGGAAUCACUGGGCGUAAAGGGCGCGUAGGUGGUCUGAUAAGGGUGUGGUGAAAGCCCGGGGCUCAACCCCGGGUCGGCCGUGCCGACUGUUAGACUGGAGUGCUGUAGGGGCAGGCGGAAUUCCGGGUGUAGCGGUGGAAUGCGUAGAGAUCCGGAGGAAGACCGGUGGCGAAGGCGGCCUGCUGGGCAGUUACUGACACUGAGGCGCGACAGCGUGGGGAGCAAACAGG
Molecule: ribosomal RNA, 253 nt
Filed under: uncultured bacterium
Lineage: Bacteria
Description: partial 16S ribosomal RNA
Rfam family: Bacterial small subunit ribosomal RNA
Source: RNAcentral